AGUCCGGAAGACAAAUACCUUCUCGAGGUCCGGAUCGUAAGUAAGCUUGGCACCAAUAGCUAAAAAAAUGUCAAGCCGAAACAAAAUCUGU
RNAcentral lists this non-coding RNA (91 nucleotides) under unclassified sequences. The record is from RNAcentral.